RNAcentral lists this ribosomal RNA (545 nucleotides) under uncultured bacterium. RNAcentral describes it as "bacterial SSU rRNA". It matches the Rfam family "Bacterial small subunit ribosomal RNA", at positions 358 to 917 of the family's 1533-position model. The record is from RNAcentral.
GGAAUUUUCCGCAAUGGGCGAAAGCCUGACGGAGCAACGCCGCGUGAGGGAUGAAGGCCUCUGGGCUGUAAACCUCCUUUAUCAAGGAAGAAGAUCUGACGGUACUUGAUGAAUAAGCCACGGCUAAUUCCGUGCCAGCAGCCGCGGUAAUACGGGAGUGGCAAGCGUUAUCCGGAAUUAUUGGGCGUAAAGCGUCCGCAGGCGGCCUUGUAAGUCUGUCGUCAAAGCGUGGAGCUUAACUCCAUUUAAGCGAUGGAAACUGCAAGGCUAGAGUGUGGUAGGGGCAGAGGGAAUUCCCGGUGUAGCGGUGAAAUGCGUAGAUAUCGGGAAGAACACCAGUGGCGAAGGCGCUCUGCUGGGCCAUAACUGACGCUCAUGGACGAAAGCCAGGGGAGCGAAAGGGAUUAGAUACCCCUGUAGUCCUGGCCGUAAACGAUGAACACUAGGUGUCGGGGGAAUCGACCCCCUCGGUGUCGUAGCCAACGCGUUAAGUGUUCCGCCUGGGGAGUACGCACGCAAGUGUGAAACUCAAAUGAAUUGACGGA